GGAUGUGGCUUAGUAGUUGAGCACUUGCCCAGCAUGCUUGAGGUCCUGGGUUCAAUCCCUAGUACCA
Molecule: transfer RNA, 67 nt
Filed under: Marmota monax (woodchuck)
Lineage: Eukaryota; Metazoa; Chordata; Mammalia; Rodentia; Sciuridae
Description: tRNA.Ala
Source: RNAcentral